AUGGUCCUUAGGAUAGAAGUGAGUCU
This 26-nucleotide non-coding RNA is filed under the name Homo sapiens (human). The record is from RNAcentral. Lineage: Eukaryota; Metazoa; Chordata; Mammalia; Primates; Hominidae.